GGGCUUGUGGCGCAGCAUGGAUAGCGUGGUAACCUCCUAAGUUACAGGUCGAGGGAUCGAAGCCCUCCAAGCCCG
Molecule: transfer RNA, 75 nt
Filed under: Candidatus Nitrosopumilus sp.
Lineage: Archaea; Thermoproteati; Nitrososphaerota; Nitrososphaeria; Nitrosopumilales; Nitrosopumilaceae
Also listed under: 1 other name
Description: Nitrosopumilus sp. tRNA-Arg
Source: RNAcentral